Molecule: ribosomal RNA, 761 nt
Filed under: uncultured archaeon
Lineage: Archaea
Description: bacterial SSU rRNA
Rfam family: Archaeal small subunit ribosomal RNA
Source: RNAcentral
CCCCUCGGCGGCUAACCCGGGAACUGGGUAUAAUACCCGAUAGAUCUCGACUGCUGGAAUGCAUCGAGAUCGAAAGCUCCGGCGCCAGAGGAUGGGUCUGCGGCCUAUCAGGUAGUAGUGGGUGUAGCGUACCUACUAGCCUACGACGGGUACGGGUUGUGAGAGCAAGAGCCCGGAGAUGGAUUCUGAGACACGAAUCCAGGCCCUACGGGGUGCAGCAGGCGCGAAAACUUUACAAUGCCGGCAACGGCGAUAAGGGGACCUCGAGUGCCAGGUUACAAAUCUGGCUGUCGUGAUGCCUAAAAAGCAUUGCAUAGCAAGGGCCGGGCAAGACCGGUGCCAGCCGCCGCGGUAACACCGGCGGCUCGAGUGGUAACCGUUAUUAUUGGGUCUAAAGGGUCUGUAGCCGGCCGGAUAAGUCUCUUGGGAAAUCCAGCAGCUCAACUGUUGGGCUUUCAGGAGAUACUGUCUGGCUCGAGGCCGGGAGAGGUGAGAGGUACUUCAGGGGUAGGGGUGAAAUCUUGUAAUCCUUGAAGGACCACCAGUGGCGAAGGCGUCUCACCAGAACGGACCUGACGGCAAGGGACGAAAGCUAGGGGCACGAACCGGAUUAGAUACCCGGGUAGUCCUAGCCGUAAACGAUACUCGCUAGGUGUCGGCCACGGUGCGACCGUUGUCGGUGCCGUAGGGAAGCCGUGAAGCGAGCCACCUGGGAAGUACGGCCGCAAGGCUGAAACUUAAAGGAAUUGGCGGGGGAGCAC